This 1430-nucleotide unclassified non-coding RNA is filed under the name Leishmania donovani. RNAcentral describes it as "gene:LdHU3.19.1060(CDS-product:ATG8/AUT7/APG8/PAZ 2_putative)". Lineage: Eukaryota; Euglenozoa; Kinetoplastea; Trypanosomatida; Trypanosomatidae. The record is from RNAcentral.
CAGCCCAUUUGCCCUCGCACCGCACCCUCUCCAGACCACCAAUGUCCGCCUACCACAGCAGCAACCCUGUCGAGGCCCGCCGCGCCGAGUGCGCGCGCCUGCAGGCCAAGUACCCCGGCCACGUCGCCGUGGUUGUCGAGGCGGCCGAAAAGGCCGGCAGCAAGGCGCACUUCCUCGCGCUGCCGCGCGACGCCACCGUCGCCGAGCUCGAGGCGGCCGUGCGCCAGGCGCUCAGCACCAGCGUCAAGAAGGUGACGCUCGCCAUCGAGGGCUCCGCCCCGGCGGUGACCGCCGCGGUCGGCGACAUCGCCGACGCCUGCAAGCGGGACGACGGCUUCCUGUACGUGAGCGUGCGCACCGAGCAGGCCAUGGGCGCCUUUGCGAGUCCGUGCUUGAGCGUGGCUUAGAUGCUUGGCCCCUCCCAAUGAGAGCGGUGCUGGUGCGGUCGGCAAGAGCGAGGCGGAUCUCAUUCAUGCUGUCUUCUCCCCAUGUUGUCGCGCCCUUCUCGCACUUCUCUCUGCCGCGACCCCGAGUUUUCGUACCUCCCUCUCGCAGCCUCUCUGCUGAUGCUCUCGAUCUUCCAUUCGUUAGUGAUACUCCGCCUGUUGCCUCGGUUCAGCCGACUACACACAUUCUGCGUAUCCCGGGAAUACUGCUGCCGUGGAUGGCGCGUGUUUGCUUUUCCUUUCAUUGACCCAUUUCGUGAGCGGUGUGUGCUUGCAUUUGUGUGUACACAAAUGUGGACACUCCUGUCGGCGACCUCUGCUUCUCCGCCUUCCGUUCUCGCGUCCUGCGUUGCCGGUGACCCUCCCUUCUCCUGUAGCGACGAGCACACUUUUCUGUGACUGUCGAUGAUCUCAACCCUGUGCUCUAGCCCCCACAUAAAGACUGCCGUCGCUGUGCGUCUGUAUGUAGCGUGUGUCGCUACGAGAGUGUGGAUGCGGAGGCGGGUGGCGUCACCACACUCCACCGCAUGUUUUUCCCUGUUUUCUCUCUUUCUGUUUUUACGCCAUGGGUGGGCCGUAACGUCGUCUUCGGUACUUCUUUUACCCAGCGACCUCCGUAGGUGAGAGUGGCACCUGGGACCGUGGCCUGCGAGAUGAGUGGCGGCGUUACCUCAUCCCGUUCUUGAAGCCCGCGCCCGUGGCCGGUGCGGCAUGAGGAGUACACCCACGCGAUGCUCGUUGUCCUUUUUCUGUGCCCGCUCUCACUUCCCUGCGCGUUCUCUUGUUUAGGCUCGCAGUCGAGUGUGACUCCAUUCUUGUCUUUUGUGUUUUGCCUGCGUUGGCGAUCUCCCGGUCCUUUCCACGGAGACCAGCGAGAGACAGGGGCAGGGGGAAAUCCGGCGGUGAGGCUCUUCGGUAGCCUCGCCGUCCUCUCCCCUGCUCCCGCUUCCUCCUCUGCCCUGUCUCCCGCAUCUCCGCUCCCUC